RNAcentral lists this ribosomal RNA (252 nucleotides) under uncultured prokaryote. Its description in RNAcentral is "partial 16S rRNA". It matches the Rfam family "Archaeal small subunit ribosomal RNA", at positions 475 to 726 of the family's 1478-position model. The record is from RNAcentral.
ACCGGCGGCUCGAGUGGUGGCCACUAUUACUGGGCUUAAAGCGUUCGUAGCUGGCUUGUUAAGUCUCUGGGGAAAUCUUCCGGCUCAACCGGAAGGCGUCUCAGGGAUACUGGCAGGCUAGGGACCGGAAGAGGUGAGAGGAACCCCAGGGGUAGGAGUGAAAUGCGGAGAUACUAGGAGGAACACCAGUGGCGAAGGCGUCUCACCGGGACGGCACCGACAGUGAGGAACGAAAGCUGGGGGAGCAAACCG